RNAcentral lists this ribosomal RNA (324 nucleotides) under uncultured eukaryote. RNAcentral's name for it is "partial 18S ribosomal RNA". It matches the Rfam family "Eukaryotic small subunit ribosomal RNA", at positions 1470 to 1796 of the family's 1831-position model. The record is from RNAcentral.
CCCUUAGAUGUCCUGGGCUGCACGCGCGCUACACUGAUGUGUCCAGUAAGCACCUAACCUCUUCCGAAAGGAACGGGUAACCUUUGCAAAGCACAUCGUGAUGGGGAUAGAUUAUUGCAAUUAUUAGUCUUGAACGAUGAAUUCCUAGUAAGCACAAGUCAUCAGCUUGUGUUGAUUACGUCCCUGCCCUUUGUACACACCGCCCGUCGCUCCUACCGAUUGAAUGUUCCGGUGAGCUCUUCGGACUGCGCGGUCUGCAGUUUCUGCGUUCCGUGCGGAAAGUUGCGCAAACCUUAACAUUUAGAGGAAGGAGAAGUCGUAACA